GAUGAACGCUGGCGGCGUGCCUAACACAUGCAAGUCGAACGGGGUAUUUCUUCGGAGAUACUUAGUGGCGAACGGGUGAGUAACGCGUGAGAAACCUGCCUUUCAGUGGGGACGAACAGUUGGAACGACUGCUAAUACCGCAUAAUGUUAUUUGGGGUCGAUCCCUCGAAUAACCAAAGAUUUAUUGCUGAAAGAUGGUCUCGCGUCUGAUUAGCUAGAUGGCGGGGUAACGGCCCACCAUGGCGACGAUCAGUAGCCGGUCUGAGAGGAUGAACGGCCACAUUGGGACUGAGAUACGGCCCAG
Molecule: ribosomal RNA, 304 nt
Filed under: uncultured bacterium
Lineage: Bacteria
Description: bacterial SSU rRNA
Rfam family: Bacterial small subunit ribosomal RNA
Source: RNAcentral